UGCGCCUUCGGAAACUCAGCAUGCGCAGACGGCGUCUGUGUAUGCGUGACGGGGACAAGCUACGACGUCACGACUGGCAACUGUCUGAUUCGUUGCACCAUAUACGGCAGUGAAAGCAGUACUUACCCCGAAUCUGGAAUCACCAGCUGUAACACCAACGCCCUGACAACGUCAACAAUGGAGGCGUGCAUUGCCGCAUGCAAGGGAGAGACUUGCUUUGUGUGUAUCAGUGCGGAGUAUCACCACGGUGGUGGCACAUGCCACCUCUGUGACACACCCGCUCUAGAGCUCCCUGAGGGGUACGUUAGUUCUGGUACCGCUCUUGGCUGGUCCCUGGCAGUACGACACUGUGCACAAUAACAAUACUGCAAUAACAAUACUGCAAUAACGAUACUGCUCAUACUGUGACAAUGAAUCAGAACGGACAGCAAGACACAGCAACUUACCGAGAGGGAGACUAUUCACAUUUAUGUUUCAAACGUCUGUGUCUUUUUGACAGCGGUAUUGGCUUCCAGGUCAUUGGAUAAGCGUUUUGUGACUAGGUAUGACAAAGUUGAUGCUGUAACAAUUAGUAGCAAAAGGUAAGAAUAACGGUCUGUCGCAUUUGCUAUUUGAUUGCAGCUUUUGUGACUGGGGUAAUAUAAACGCCAUGCUCAGUGAACUACAAAGAACUGACCAGAGGUGCAGUUUAGGAAGCCGUUUUGAUCAUCCUUCAACCUUGUACGCAUUGUUUGAAAUCGUCGUUAUCAAUUUCAAUAGUUUCAAACCAAUGCGUCAUAGGCAUUAACAACAUGUUCGUCAACUGUUGAUCACAUGCUCGGACCCAUUGACGCUGGUUUCAUGUUUGACAGUAUACCUACCUUGGUGACCCUUCAGAAUGAGUAUAUAAUUGGAGAUUUAUUAGAGCUAGAAAAUAUAGUGAA
Molecule: long non-coding RNA, 923 nt
Organism: Haliotis rubra (blacklip abalone)
Lineage: Eukaryota; Metazoa; Mollusca; Gastropoda; Lepetellida; Haliotidae
Exons: 2
Source: RefSeq, a predicted model, not a curated record